GACGAACGCUGGCGGCGUGCUUAACACAUGCAAGUCGAACGGUGAAGCGCCUUCUUUUUUGGGUGGUGUGGAUGAGUGGCGAACGGGUGAGUAACACGUGAGUAACCUGCCCCCUUCUUCUGGAUAACCGCAUGAAAGUGUGUCUAAUACGGGAUAUUCUGCGUCUGUCGCAUGAUGGGUCUGGGUAAGAUAUUGUUUCGGUGGGGGAUGGGCUCGCGGCCUAUCAGGUUGUUGGGGGGGUGAUGGCCUACCAAGGCUGUGCGGGGUAGCCGGCCUGGGAGGGUGGCCGGCCUGAGAGGGGCAGAGGCACCGCCGAGACUGCUACGGGAGGCAGCAGUGGGGAAUAUGGAACAAUGGGGGCAAGUCUGAUGCAGCGGGGCCGCGUGAGUGAUGGAGCCCUGCGGGUUGUGAACGUCUUUCGCUAGUGAAGCAGGCCUGCCUCGUUUGAGGGGGGAUUGAUGGUAGCUGGAGAAGAAGCGCCGGCUAACUACGUG
This 494-nucleotide ribosomal RNA is filed under the name uncultured bacterium. RNAcentral's name for it is "partial 16S ribosomal RNA". It matches the Rfam family "Bacterial small subunit ribosomal RNA", at positions 28 to 507 of the family's 1533-position model. The record is from RNAcentral.